GCAUUUUACUUUAGACCAAAUUAUGAUCAUAUUUAAAUGAGAAUAAUUGGCACUUUACUUUUAAAUUGAUUAAAAAUGAUCAAAAGUUAUGAAAUAAACUAAAAAGUACACUCAUUCAAAAAAGAAUAGUAAAUUUAAUCCAUCAUUUUUUUAAAAGGUGAAUUUUUAUUAACCUCAACACUAUCAUGCCAUUUUGAGUCUCAAACAUAGAUUGCAAGAGACUCUCACGGCAUAAAUAGUUAGUGAGCAGCCUGUACAAUUUCCAAAAAGAAUAUGCUACUCAACAAGAUUUUGGUAGCAACUCAGGAUAAAGAAACUAACGUACCUUAAGUAGAUUGGUAAAUUUGAACCUAAUCUCAAAUUAUUCUAUGAAGUUUGUUUGUGAAAAUAUGGCAGCUAGCACAUACCCAAAUUAAAGUUGUAAAUAACAUAUACAUGUUCUAUAAUCAUGUUUUCCAACUAAUUGAUUUACAUAUUGUUUUGUAACUUUUUUUUUUGAAACAGGAAUUCUUUUACUAAGAACUUUUUUGGGAAUAAUUUGCUUGAUUGUGUUGGUUAGACAAAAAUUGAAAAGGAGGCAUUUGUCUGUGGAUGACGAUAUUGAGAAUUUUCUUCAGAGUCAAAACAAUUUAAUGCCUAUCAGAUAUUCUUACUCUGAAAUAAAAAGAAUGACUGAUGGCUUCAAGAAUAAACUAGGUCAAGGAGGAUAUGGUUCUGUGUUUAAAGGAAAACUUCGAAGUGGUCAACUUGUUGCGAUAAAAUUGUUAAACAACUCAAAAGCUAACGGCCAAGAUUUCAUCAAUGAAGUUGCAACUAUUGGAAGGAUUCAUCAUGUUAAUGUGGUAAGACUUAUUGGAUUUUGCGUGAAGGGAUCAAAACAAGCUCUUGUAUAUGACUUCAUGAAGAAUGGGUCCUUGGAUAAAAUUAUAUUUUCAGCUGAAAAUAACACUUUGAGUUGGCAAAAAAUGUUUGAGAUUGCUUUGGGAGUGGCUCGAGGUAUUGAAUAUUUGCAUAGAGGUUGUGAAAUGCAAAUUUUACAUUUUGAUAUCAAGCCACAUAACAUUCUUCUAGAUGAGAACUUUACUCCAAAAGUUUCAGAUUUUGGCCUCGCAAAGUUGUAUUCAGUGGAUAAUGAUAUUAUUUCUCUCACAGCAGCACGAGGUACAGUAGGAUAUAUGGCUCCUGAAUUGUUUUAUAAAAAUCUCGGAGGUAUCUCAUAUAAAGCCGAUGUUUAUAGUUUUGGAAUGAUGCUAAUGGAAAUUACUGGAAGAAGAAAAAAAUUUGAAUGCCUCUGCUGAACAAUCAAGUCAAAUUUAUUUUCCAUCAUGGAUUUAUGAUCGAUUAGAUGAAGGAGAUAUCAUGGAGCUUGGAGAUUUGACAGAAAAUGAAAACAAAAUUAUGAGGAAAAUGGUAAUAGUAGCCUUAUGGUGCAUACAGAUGAAGCCCACUGAUCGUCCUUCCAUGAGCAAAGUCUUGAAUAUGCUUGAAAGUGAAGUUGAGCUCCUUGAAAUGCCUCCCAAGCCUUCUUUCUCUGGAAAUGUCAACUAAAUAUAGUAAGAAUUCUCCCCGCACACGUGGCAAUCGGCCUUCCUCAGUUAUCUCGUGAUAUUUGUCAUUGGGACACCACUCAACAUUGUGAUCUUGCUAAAUCUGACAACUUCUUCUGUAUUUAGUUUUUUGAAUGGUACGUAGUUUUUGUUUCCACCUAGAUCUAGUAGGCAGUGUUUGUAUUUUCUCUACUACCUUGGUUUGUUUUGUUUCUGCUACUUCUCUAUUGCCCUGUAUGUGACCUCUGAUGGAAUAAAUCAUUUCCUCACUUGUAAAAAAAUUGCAAGAAAAUGUAAUUUUAUUUUUCCCUUAUUUUAUACUGUCAUCCCAAACUCGCAGCACAACAGACGCCACAUACCUGUAAGAUGUAAUCUUACAAACAUGCAAGGGUCCAAUACAUAUACCUUAAAACACUAACUGAAAGACACUAAAAUACCUGAAGAACAAAGUGAUUCAUAAUCGGUAGAAAUUCAAAAAUCAUAAUUCGACAAUAUUCAGAAUUAAGUCUCUAAAACUAUAAAGUUAACAUGUCAAGAUAAAACUCUGAAUACUAAUUUAAGAUAGUUUGAUGUUCAUAAUAUUUAAAUAAAUCCUAGACAACCUAAAUGCUAUUAGAUUAAAACAUCACUCCUUGAAAUUCUCACGUAGUUGACCAAAUCACAACCUAAAAAAAAAAUUGAAAGAAUGAGUGAGUCCAACUACUCGGUAAGUAACAAAUAUCUCACUUCGUACUACAAAAGCCCUCAAAUAUAUGACCAAAAAUGUUAUCGGAAUAUGGAGUUCCAAUGACCCAAAUUUGGAUUGUCAAAACAGUUGAAAACCAAGUUUCUAAUUAAUUUUAAAAAUUCAUAUUUUCUAAACCACAAAACUAAACUAGAUGCUACAAAAACCAUUGGAAAGAUCUUUUCAAGACCUUUCCAUUGGUAACCAUCAUGCCACCGAAAGGUCACCAGAAUAGUGCCGAAUUUGAAUAAAAGUUAAGAAAACAUAAAUAAUUUAGGGCUUUUGUGCCCAACUAUGGAAAUACAACCCUAAACAUACCUUAAUCAGAAAUCCCUUGAAUACUUUUCUCUUUUUUCUAUCUUUCUUCUUCUAUGGUGUUAAGCUUUUCUGACUACCUAUCGUUUGAGUCUGAUGAAAUAAACUGACAUGAGUUUUCUACCUUUUCUUUUAAACUUGUAAACUAACCUAACCUCCACUAUUUUUUUUUUAAACGUGGUUUAGUGAGUUGUGAUCAGGUAAAACAAAUUGACCUUAACCGCACUAACUUAAACAUGAUAAACAAAACUGACAUUAAUUAAACUUCUUUAUUUACUUAAAGACCCCUUUUUCUAUUUUUUAAUUAUUAAGACACUCAAGGUUGUAACUGUAAUUAAAUAAAAUACUAAAACAACAUUUAUUUAUUUAUUUUAUAAAACUAUAGCCUAAUAAAUCUAAAUGUUUUUAUAAUAUAUACUUUGUGAGGGGUAUUACAUCCUUCCCUCCUUAAAAAGGAGUUUAGUUCCUUAAACUCUUACCUUGGUCCUCAAAAAGGCAGGGAUACUUCUUUUUUAUAUUUUUUCUAAAUCCCAAGUCGCUCCUCAUUCUGUAUGAUUACUUCAUUAGAUCUUAACAUAAGGAAUAGUUCGCCUUCUUAGAACUUGCUUCUUUCUAUCCACAACACACAUAGGAUGCUCAUCAUAAGACAAAUCUUCUCUAAGUAUCAAAGGAGCUAACCACACCACAUGACUAGGAUCUGGAACAUAUUUUCUCAACAAAGAAACAUGAAACAUGUUAUGCGCUCUCGAUAAAGCAGGUGGAAGUGCCAACCUAUAAGCCACAUCACCAACCUUAUCCAAAAUCUCAAACGAACCCAUAUAACAAGAACUAAGUUUUCCUCGAAUCCUAAAUUGCAUUACUCCUCUAGUAGGUGAAACUAGCAAAAAGACAUGAUCUCCAACCUCAAAUUCUAUCUUCCUUGUUUUAUUGUUUGCAUAACUCUUCUAUCUACUUUGAGCCGUACGAAGAUGUUCUCUAACUAACUGAACCUUCUCAACUGCUUGUUGAAUAAGAUCUAGACCCAAUAAUUGUCUUUCACCCACAUCAUCCCAACAAAGAGGUGACCUGCACUUCUUACCAUACAAAGCUUUGAAUGAAGCCAUUUGAAUACUAGACUGAUAGCUAUUAUUAUAAGCAAAUUCCGUCCAUGACAAGUGUCGAUCCCAAAAACCUCCAAAAUCCAUGACACAAGCUCUCAACAUGUCCUUAAGAAUUUGAUUAAUUGUCUCGGACUGACCAUCUGUUUGAACAUGAAAAGUAGUACUAAAAUUAAGUCUAGUACCCAAAGAUUUAUGUAGACUCUCUCAAAAUUUCACCACAAAUCGAGAAUCUUGAUCAUAUACAAUGGACACUAGCACCCCAUGCAGUCUCACAAUCUGCUCCACAUAUAACUCCACUAACUUUUCCAAUGACAUUUCCGUACGAAUAGCCAAGAAGUGAGCAGACUUUGUUAAUCUAUCAACAAUCACCUAGAUGCCAUCAUUACCUUUUAGUGUUCUCGGCAACCAGAUAUAAAGUCCAUAGUAAUUCGUUCCCAUUUCCAUUCUAGAAUAAGAAAUGGUUGCAAUAACUCUACUGGCCUCUGAUGUUCAACCUUAAUUUGUUGACAUGUUAAACAUUUGGCUAAAAACUGUGCAAUCUCUCUCUUCAUAUUGUUCCACCAAAAAGUGUUCUUCAAAUCUCGAUACAUCUUGGUACCACCAAGAUGGAUUGUAUAAUUACUAUAAUGAGCUUUCAACAAAAUUUCUCUCUUCAAUUUUGCAUCAUUGGGAACACAAAUUCUAUCACCAAACCUCAAAGAGUCAUCAUCAUGAAUCCUAAAGUCUGGUUUCAAACCAGAAUUAACCCUAAGUUUAAUGUGCUGAAGUCGAAGAUCAUCUACUUGGGCUGUCUUAAUCCGGUGAAUUAAAGUUGGUUGUACUCAUAUGUUAGCCAAUAAUGCUCCAAAACCCUGUAUACAUACACCAAUAUCCAUCCUCCGUAAGUCCUCCAAUAUCUGUUUUUGGGAAGUAAUCAUUGUGGCCAUGUUCCCAAACGUCUUUCUACUUAGAGCAUCAGCAACUCUAUUUGCCUUACUUGGGUGAUAAUUGAUGGUCAAGUCAUAAUCCUUCAACAAUUCUAACCAUCUUCUUUGUCACAUAUUCAACUCCUUCUGCGUGAUAAGAUACUUUAAACUUUUAUUAUCUGUAAAGACCUCACAAGACUCACCAUUCAAAUAAUGUCUCCAAAUCUUUAAUGCGAAACCACUACUGCCAACUUUAAAUCAUGAGUAAGAUAAUUCUCAUCAUAAGGUUUCAAUUGCUUAGAAGCAUAAGCGAUCACCUUAUCAUCCUGCAUAAGAACACACCCAAGUCCCUUUUUGGAAUCAUCACUAUAAACAACAAAUCCCUUACCACUAAUAGGCCUGGUAUGCAUAGGAGCGAAUACUAAUCUUUUCUUUAUCUCCUCAAAGCUCUUUUCAUAAUCAUUUGUCCACUCAAAACAAAUCCCUUUCCAUAUCAAUUUGGUUAAAAGUAAGGCAAUACAAGAAAAAUCCUCUACAAAUUACCUACAGCAUCCUACUAAACCCAGAAAACUGUUAAUCUCAAAAACAUUAUGUGGUCUCUUUCAAUUCACCACUAUUUCAACUUUCUUUGAAUCCACUGAAAUCCCGUCUUUCAACACCACAUGCCCAAGGAAAGCAACACUAAAAAGUCAAAAUUCACAUUUCUUCAAUUUAGCAAAUAACUAUUUCUGCCUCAAAGUCUUCAAAACAACCCUUAGAUGCUCUUUAUGAUCUGCUGAGCUAGGGGAAUACACUAGAAUAUCAUCAAUAAAAAUAACCACAAAUUUAUCCAAAUAAGGUUUAAAAACCCUAUUCAUCAAGUCCAAAAAAGUAACUAGAGCAUUUGUCAACCCAAAAGGCAUAAUAAGGAACUCAUAAUGCCCAUAUCAGGUACGAAAAGUAGUUUUGGGAACAUCCUCAAUUCUCACCUUCAACUGGUGAUAACCAGAUAAAAGAUUAAUUUUGGAAAACACUUAAGUGCCCUUUAGUUGAUCAAAUAAAUCAUAUAUCCCAGGCAAAAGAUACCUAUUAUUCACGGUUGCCUUAUUUAACUCCCGAUAAUCAAAACACAACCUCAUACUCCCAUUUUUUUUCUUCACAAAUAACACUGGCGCUCCCCAAGGAGAUAUACUACAUCUAAUAAAGCCCUUAUCAAGAAGUUCUUGCAACUGCUCUUUCAACUCUUUUAAUUCUAUAAGAGCCAUUUUAUAAGGAGCUUUAGAAAUAAGGUCAGUUUUUGGAACCAAAUCAAUAGAGAAAUCAAUUUCUCUAUUAGGAGGUAAACUAAGUAGAUCUUUAGGAAAAAAUUAGGAAAUUCCCCCAUAAUAAGAACAUCUUCAAUCAUUAACUCCUUCAUUCUAGUGUCUAUAACAGUUGCCAAAAAUCUUUUGUAACCACUAGUAAGCAAUCACCUAGCUUUCAAAGCAAAGAUGACUCGCAAAGGAGUGUAAGAACCACUACCACGAAAAGAAAAAGGUGUUUCCCCGGGAAUCUGAAAGUCUACCCUUUUCCCUCGAUAAUCAACUUUAGCAAAAUUUGCAACUAACCAAUCCAUCCCCAGAAUUAUAUCAAAAUCUUACAUAUCUAAAACAUGAAGAUCUGUAAGCAAUUCUCUAUCUUCAAUCCUUACCACACACAUCUUAUAAAUCUGAUCAGAGAUAAUAUCACCUCUAACUAGAGUGUCUACGCAUAGUUCAUAAUCUAGAAGCAUACAAGGCAAAGCAAACUUUCGAAAAAAUGUAGCAAAUACAAAAGAACGAGAUGCAUUGGUAUCAAACAAUACAUGAGUAAAAGCUGAGGCAACUAGCAGUGUACUUGAGACAACGGUGUUGGAUGCCUCUACAUCCGAUUGAGUGAUAGCAUAAGCACGCCCCUGGGUGCAAGGUCUUCCCACUUUUUGAUGUUCAAAAGAAGGUGUUUGCGUAGUCUAAACAACAUGAGUGGGUUGAGUCCUUUGCGUUGCAGUUUCAAAAGUUCGAGAGUUUUGCGACCUCUGCACAGAUUGAGAUUCUUGAAGGACUAAAGGACAAUUAGCAAUACGAUGGCCCUAUUGUCUACAUUCAGCAGCUCGAUGUCCUCCACCACACACUGAACACCUAGGCUUUUGUGCCCAAACUAUGAAAAUACAACCCUAAACAUAACUUAAUCAGCAAUCCCUUGAAUAUUUUUCCCUUUUUUCUGUCUUUCUUCUUCCUUGGUGUUAAGCUCUUCUGACUGCCUAUCGUUUGAGUAUGAUGAAAUAAACUUGUAAACUAACCUAACUUUCACUAUUUUUUUUUAAACAUGAUUUAGUGAGUUGUUGUCAGGUAAGAUAUACUAACCUUAACCCCACUAACUUAAAUGUGAUAAAUAAAACUGACAUUAAUUAAACUUUUUUAUUUACUUAAAGACCCCUUCUUCUCUUUUUUAAUUAUUAAGGCACCAAAAGUUAAAACUGCAAUUAAAUAAAAUACUAAAAGAACAUCUACUUAUUCAAAAAUGAAUAGUAAAUUUGAUCCAUCAUGUUAAGUAGAUUGGUGGUAAAUUUGAACCUUUUCUCAAACUAUUCUAUGGAGUUUGUUUGUGAAAAUAUGGCAGCACAUGCCCAAAUUAAAUUAGUAAACAACAUACACAUAUUCUAUAAUCAUGUUUUUCAUCUUUGGGUUGGCAAAGAAUGUUUGAGAUUGCAUUGGGAGUGGUUCGAGGUAUUGAAUAUUUACACAGAGGUUGUGAAAUGCAAAUUUUACAUUUUGAUAUCAAGCCACAUAACAUUCUUCUAGAUGAGAACUUCAUCCCGAAAGUUUCAGAUUUUGGCCUUGCAAAGUUGUAUUCAAUGGAUGACAGUAUUGUCUCUCUUACAGCUGCAAGAGGUACAUUAGGAUAUAUGGCUCCUGAAUUGUUCUAUAAAAAUAUUGGAAGCAUUUCAUAUAAUGUUUAUAGUUUUGGAAUGAUGUUAAUGGAAAUUGUCGGAAGGAGAAAAAAUGUGAAUGUCUCUGCUGAACAUUCAUGUCAAAUUUAUUUUCCAUUUUGAAUUUAUGAUCGACUUGAGGAAGGAGAUAUCAUAGAACUUGGAGAUGUAACGGAAAAUGAAAACAAAAUUAUGAGGAAAAUGGUAAUAGUAGCCUUUUGGUGCAUACAGAUGAAGCCCACAGAUCGUCCUUCAAUAAGCAAAGUCUUGGAGAUGCUUGAAAGUGAAGUUGAGCUCCUUGAAAUGCCUCCCAAGCCUGCUUUCUCUGAAAGGUCAACCAAACCAUUAGUUGUAUUAUAAGUAAUAUUUAAUGUUGUACGUUAAGCAAUGUUUCACUACUUUAUCAUACUACUUUUAUAAUUUUUAUAGUAGAAACCUUAAGCUUGAGGCAUAAUCUUCUCUCUUCCAAAAAAAACCAAAAAAAAAAAACAAUAUAGAAUGGUGAGGAAGAAAGUAUAGCAAGGAAAAGAAGGAUACUGAGUUGGAGUUUUGAGCGUGCGAAGGUGUUAUUUUAGAAGAGUUGUAAUGGUAUCUCGUAAGUAUUUUGUCUAUAUAAAAAGUCUUUUGCUCAUAUAAAGAAUAAAGACUUUAAAUAGCAUUAUCGAUAUAUUAUUGCAAAUAAUUAACUUACGUUUUAAAAAAAUUAAAAAUAUUCCUCAACCAUGCUUGGAAUUAUAAUUUUUAUUUAAAAAAAUAAAUUAUUUGAGUUUUAUUUUAAAAAAAUAAAUUAUUUGAGUUUUCUCUCUUAAUUAAAAAGUCAAAUUUUAUCCAAUUCAAAAAUUUAUUUAAAAUGAUUUGAAAUCAAAUUCAACUUAAUUCAAAUUAAAUGACAAAAAUUAAAAAUUUCAAUAUGAAAAUACGUGAAUUUAAAAUGAUAUUAAUUUAAUCCGACACAAUUCAAUGUUAACAUGACUCGAAUCUAAAACGAACCGAGCUCAUAAUGAUCAAAAAUCCAAGAUUUAUUGGAUCCAAAACUUACAAAAACUUAAAUUUAUAACUCCCAAAAAUCCAAAUUAUAAUUAAAUAAUUUUAUUUAAUAAUUAAAUAAGUAAAUGAUUAAUUUUUAAGUGAAAAUUUUAAGACACACAAGCACCUUUUUCUCGUCAAUGCUUCUUCGUUACUCAGAAACAGCUCAUAAGAAUGGCAUGGUCAACUACUCUGCUUCACCUUCACUUCAAAUCCCCUCCGGUUUCUUCUCACCAAUUCCCACAUUCCCCCCCAAAAAUCCCCGAUCUUCCUAAACCCUAACCCUAUAAUUCCCAAACCCAAACCCCCCAAAAUGCAAUUCCUUCACAGGCCCAACGCGUUUCCAGGCCACGGCGCAGUAUCAAGAGCCAUGGACAUCAUCCAAUCCUCACCGCCCACGUGGGAAUCGGCCUUCCUUACCAACAUCCUGAUCUUCGUCGUCGGGACUGCACUUUUAGUAGCGGGGCUUUCUCUCUCCGAAAUUUUCGCUUCCUUCUUGCUUGGCACUCUCACUUGGCGAGCUUUCGGGUCUUCUGGAUUCCUCCUCAUUGCUUCUUACUUCGUUAUAGUGAGUCACUAAAAAGUCUAUGAAUUUUAUUUGAAUUAUGGGAUUUACGUUAAAAUUGGAAAUGGGUUCUGAUUUUCGCUCCCAUUUGGUAUAAAGUUUAUGCUCUGGAUGACAAGUUUCAUUGUUUGGUAUUUUGGCAAAGGAAAAAAAAUUUAGUUUAUGUCAAAAAGAUUUAACGUGAAGUAUUUAGUUAUUUAAGUGUGAUUUGUUUUUAUUUCAAGAAUUGGAUUACACUAGGUGAAAACAGGUCAAAACUAUAACCAAAACAUUUUUCCAAAAUUCUUUUUUAUUUUCAUUUGUUUUCUUCUUGGUGGGGGCAGGUGAAGGGAGAUUUUAUUUGCUUUUGACAUGUUUCUUAAGUAUAAAGUUGAAGUAGAAGAUAAACUGAAUAAAAAAAUAAAAAAAGUUAAAUUAGAUAGAGAGGGUGAAUAUUUACCUAUUAAUGAUAUUUGUGAAAAGAAAGAAAUAAUUUAUAAAAUUACUCUCUCAUAUUCUACUGAAUCAAAUAGUGUAGUUGAAAGGAAAACUAAAACAUUAAAAGAAAUGAUGAAUUAUAUGCUUAUUAGUUCUAAUGCACAUGAAAAUUUGUAGGGUGAAGUUAUAUUAUUUGCAUGUCAUAUUCAAAAUAGAAUUCACUGCAAGAAAACUGAUAAGACACCUUAUGAAUUGUGAAAAGUCUAUUCUUCUAACUUAAAAUAUUUAAAAGUAUGAGAGUGUUUAGCUAAUGUUAUGCUUCUUGAUUUUAAGAAAAGAAAAAUUGACUCUAAGAUGUCCGGUUGCAUGUUUAUUGGCUAUACCAAAUAUAGUGCUGCAUAUAAAUUUCUUGUACUAAAAAAUGAUGUUUUUGAUAAUAAUACAAUUAUUAAAACAAAAAAUGUUGAAUUUUUUUGACAUAUUUUUCUAUUGAGAACUGAUACAAUUUUUCUUCCAUCUUUUAGUGAAAAUGUUUUUUUAAAUGCAAAAUGAUGAUUUGAGAAGAAGUAAAAGACAAAAGAAAGAAAUUUCUUUUUGUAAUGAUUUUUACACUUAUCUUGUAGAUAAUGAUCUUUUAAAUUAUGCUAAUUCAAUUUCUUCUAAAGAAUGUCCAUUUUGAAAAGACGUUAUACAAAAUGAGAUUGAUUCUAUUUUACAAAAUCAAACCCGGGAAUUAAUUUAUUUACCACCUGAAGCUAAGCCAAUUGGUUGUAAAUGGAAUUUUUAAAAAAAAUUUAAUCUUGAUUAUUUUAUUGAUAAAUACAAAAUUAAAUUAGUUGCUAAGGGUUUUACCAAAAAAUAAAAUAUUGAGUAUUUUGAUACUUUUGCUCUAGUAACAAGAAUUUCAUCUAUUUGUAUUUUAAUUGCCUUAGCUUCGAUUUACAAACUUUUUGUUCAUCAAAUGAAUGUUAAAACAGUUUUUUUAAAUGAUGAUUUAGAAGAAGAAAUUUAUAUGACACAACUCGAGGGAUGUGUACUUCUUGGUCAAGAAAACAAAAUUUGUAAAUUAAUUAAAUCUCUAUAUACUUAAAACAAGCACCAAAAUAAUGGUAUGAGAAAUUUGAUUAAAUUCUUGUUAAUAAUAGAUUUUUUACUAUUGGAGUUGAUAAAUGUGUGUACACAAAAACUAUUGAUAACGAAUAUAUGAUUAUUAGCUUAUAUGUUGAUGAUAUGUUUAUUUGUGGUACAUGCAUUGAUGUGGUAAAUAAAACAAUAUGUUUCUUAACUUAUAAAUUUGAUAUGAAAGAUUUGGGAGAAACCAAUAUUAUUUUGGGUGUUAAAGUCAUAAGAUGUGAGAGUGGCCUAAUGUUAACACAAAAACAUUAUAUUGAGAGGUUACUUAAAAAGUUUAGACAUUUUAAUGUCACACUUGUGAAUACUCCUUAUAAUGUUAAUACCCAAUUAAAGAAAAAUAGAGAUGAUAGUAUGGCUCAACCUUAGUAUGCAUAGAUUUUUAAAAGUUUGAUGCAUUUGAUGAAUUAUACUUGACUUGGUAUAGCUUAUGUUAUGUGUAGACUGAGUAAAUAUACAUAAAGUCUCAAUCAAGAUCAUUGAACUGUUUUGAAUAGAGUAAUGAAAUAUUUGAAAUGUACCAUAAACUAUGAUAUUUUAUAUAAUAGAUUUUCCGUUGCAUUAGAAAGGUACAAUAAUGUUAACUUAAUCUCAUAUUCAGAUGAGACAAAAUUCAUGAGUGAUUAUGUAUUCACCAUUGGUGUGGAUGCUGUUACUUAGAAAUUAGUCAAAUAAAUAAUAAUUACUAAAUCUACAGUGGAAUCAGAAUUUAUAGUUUUAGAAUUAACUAGUAAUGAGGUUGAAUAGUUAAGAAACCUCUUAACAGAUAUUUCAUUAGAAAUGAAACCAACACCUUCUGCGUCUAUGUAUUGUGAUUGUCUAACGGCAAUAAACAUUGUGAAGAAUAAAACUUUCAAUGGUAAGAAUAGACACAUUUGUUUAAGAUAUGAUGUGGUAAAAUAAUUACUUAGAGAUGAAAUUAAUGUCCAUUAAUUAUACGAAGUCAUAUACCAAAAAAUAUAAAUUAUGAAACCGAUGAAUCCUUUUAGAACUAUUAUUUUGCAUUUCAAUAAGUCCAUGGUGGAAUUUUAAGACUGCACAAAUGAAUUCAUAGGAUUGUUUAAGUGAUUUUAUUUAUAUGUUAUUGCAGACAGAUUACAAAAAUUCCUUUCCUGUUAGUUUCGUUAUCAAUCAGUUCAUACGUUAUUUUCUUCAUUAAUUCUUGUUUGAGUGGAAAAUCAUCUCAGAGCUAUGAUUGGCUUGUGUUGAAGUUGUUGGAUUGAAUUAAUUAGUUGACUGGACUGACUUUUCAAACGAAGACGAGUGAGGGAGAAAGACCGCACCAUUAAAAGUUGACUGACUUUUCAGUUACCGCAUGAAACCGUACAACUCUCAGACGUGAGUCUGAAAAAUGUGCAAUUUUGCUAAUAUAUGCAUGUGAUAUUUUUGUCCAAAAUAUUAUCAAAACAAAUUGUAUAGAACUGUGAAAUCCGUAAAAGUUGUUUGCAAAAAGGUUUUUAACAGCACAAGUUAAAGAAAAAAGGUCAAAGGAAGAUUUGAUUUCAAUUACAGCCACAGAAAUAAUUAACAAAGCAAUAAAGAUAACAUUAUCCUAACUCUUAUUUAAUCUCUCUCGUUAAACUUUGUUAUACUUAAUUCUCCUAAAAAAAACUUUUUUAUACUUACAAAAAAUAAAUAUAAGAUAUGGAGAUUGAUCAAUUUUAUUUAGAAUUAUUAUUUUAUAUAUUUGCAAUGAAAUUUUGAAAUUCCAAAUUUCAUAACAUUAUUUAAGUCAUAUUAUAUAUCUACAUAUAUAUAUAUUAUGUUAAGGGGUAUAUUGAUCUCACUAAUGUGCAGAUAUACUUGGAUGAAUUACCCAUGAGUGCUAUGGUAGGCUUUGUGUUAAAUGUGUUUUCUGGUUUGGGUUUAAUUAGUUGUCUGACUUUUCAAAAGAAGACUUGGUUUUAACAAUAAAUAUAAGAGAACAUCAUAGUGCUUCUUCACAAACUAAUUAAGCCCUUAAUCUCCUUCUCUCCCACUGAAAUUUUAGGAUGCUAAGAGCAAAGCUUCCAUUAUUCGGCCUUCUGGCCCUUGCUUUAUCUCUAUUCCCUGAUGCAUGCAUCGCUAGAGGCAAACACAAGCACUGUGGCUCUUCUUUCUGUGGAAACAUUAAUAUCACUUCCCCUUUUCGAUUAAAAAGUCAGCCUCGAAGUUGUGGUUACAAUCGUUAUGAACUAGUAUGCGAGAAUAACCGCACCAUUUUCCCCAUGAAACAUGGGAAUUUCUAUGUCCAACACAUCUCUUAUAGUGACGAAACCAUUCAACUGUUAGACGUGAGUCUUGACAAGGAUAACUUUUUUAUACAAUGAAUUUAUAAGAUUGCUUGAAUGAUUUUAUUCCUAUUUGAGUGGAAAAUCAGCUAAGAGCUAUGAUUGGCUUGUGUUAAAGUGGUUGGCUUUAAUUUGUUGACCUGACUGACUUUUCGAACGAAGACAAGUGAGCAAGAAUAACCACACAUUUUCCCCAUGAAAUAUGAGAAUUUCCAUGUGGAAAAAGCCAUAUAAGUCUUAGAGGUGAGUCUUACCAAGCCACUCGGUAGGAGAUAGGGUAUACAUCUCCCUCAUCAUAAGUAUCCAUGCACGUCAAUAUAGGGUCAUGUGUAUCUCUUAAAUUGCAGGAUGAAGAUGAAUUCUUCGGUUUACAUUGAUGCUUUCCAUUGCACCAAUCGAUGUUCCUCUCCACGCUAUUUUGUUUCUUCAGUCAAAUUAUUGUCUGGUUAACAACUAAUGGAAAUGUAAGGACGGAAUAUUCACGUGAUAUGUUGCAUAAUUUAUACUAUAAUAUUUUAUCAUUGUUAACGGCACAAUUUGAUAAAAAGAUCAAAAUGAAAUCAUUGUAUUAUAUUUUGUGUAAAAUGCAUAAAAAAAAAGAAUUCUAAAUUUNNNNNNNNNNNNNNNNNNNNNNNNNNNNNNNNNNNNNNNNNNNNNNNNNNNNNNNNNNNNNNNNNNNNNNNNNNNNNNNNNNNNNNNNNNNNNNNNNNNNNNNNNNNNNNNNNNNNNNNNNNNNNNNNNNNNNNNNNNNNNNNNNNNNNNNNNNNNNNNNNNNNNNNNNNNNNNNNNNNNNNNNNNNUCUAUACUUAACAAAAGAUAAAUGUAAAAUAUAAAAUUGAUCAAUUUUGUUUAGAAUUAUUAUUUUAUAUAUUUUGAAAUUUUGAAAUUUCAAAAUAUAUAAUAUUAUUUAAGUCGUAUUAUAUAUUAUAUUAUUGAAGGCUUAUAUUAAUCUCCCUACUGUGCAGAUAUACUUGGAUGAAUUAUAAAGAUGUCUUUUCUAUCAGUUUCGCUACGUACCAAUUGGUUGGACACAUAUUUUAUUCUUUCUUAUUUGUUUGUGUUAAAAGUGUUUUGCGGUUUGGGUUUAAUUAGUUGACUGACUUUUCAGAAGAAGACUUGGUUUUAAUAAUAAAUAUAAGAGAACAUCACAGUACUUCUUCACAAACUAAUUAAGCCCUUAAUCUCCUCUCCCGCUGAAAUUUUAGGAUGCUAAGAGCAAAACUUCCAUUAUUUUGCCCCUUGGCUUUUGCUUUAUCUCUAUUCCCCGAUGCAUGCAUGGCUAGGGGCAAAAACAAGGACUGUGGCUCUUCUUUCUGUGGAGAAGUUACCAUCAAAAAGCCCUUUCAGUUAAAAAGCCAACCUCUCAGGUGUGGAAACCGUGGGCUUGAAGUCGAGUGUGACGACAAUAACCGCACCACUUUCCCCAUGAAAUAUGGGAAAUUCCUUGUCCAAGACAUCUCUUAUAAUAACGGCACAAUUCAUAUUAUAUUAUAUUUUUAUGUAUGUUUGUAUCUAUAGUAUUAGUUGUUUAAACUUUUUGGGUGCAAUUCUUUUUCAUAUAUAAUUAACAGCUUUUAUAAAACAGCAGUCUUUGUCACUAUAUAUGCUUGUAAAUCUCUCUUUAACUGCAAUUUUUUUGUCCAAAAUACUUCUAAUAAAAGAUUGUAUAGAGCAGCCAAAUUUGUAAAGUUCUAUCCUAAUUAAAACACUUUCAAUAACAUCUUAAAAAAAUUAAAUGCCAAAGUUAUUGUAGUGUGUUUUUCCCCUUUGGCUCUAGACUCUAGUUUAUUAAAUUUUCAAAGGAAGAUUUGCUUUCAUUUGCAGCCACAGAAUGAUAAGCAGAGCUACCAAGAUAAGAUUAUCUUAGUUCUUAUUUAAUCUUUCUUUUCAAACUUUUUUAUGCAUAUAAAAAAAUGUGAAAUAUGGACGGAUUAGUUCUUUUAGACUUAAUAGGUUGAUGGUGAAAUUUUAAGACUACACAACAUAUUUAUAGGAUUGUUUUUUAUUUAUAUUUUAUUGGGGGUUAAUAUUAGUCUCCCAACUUAGACGAAUAACAAAAAUUCCUUUGCUAUCAAUUUCGUUAUCAAUCAGUUGCAUACGUUAUUUUCUUCACUUAAUUUCUAUGUGGAAAAAGCCAUAUAAGUCUUAGAGGUGAGUCUUGACAAGGAUAACUGCUCCAUUCCUUAUAGUUCCUAUCCUUGCUACAGCCCUUGUGGAAAAAGCCUAUCACUUGGUAGAAGAUAUGGUAUACAUCUCCCUCGUCAUAUGUAUACAUGCACCUCAAUAUAGGGUCAUCUAUCUCUUAAAUUGCAGGAUGAAGAUGAACAUUUGGUUUACAUCGAUGCUUCUCAUUCCACCAAUCGGUGUUCCUCUACAUCUUCUUUUGUUUCUUCGGUAUUUUACAUUGUUAAUGGGACAAUUUGAUAAAAAGAUCAAAAUAAAAUUGUUUCAAAAUAUUAUACACAUGAAAAAAUAUUACGAAUUUAAUUUGAUUACUUUAUUGCGAAAGUUGCAAAAAUAAUUGUAGAAGCAUGUAUAAUGAUUAUGGGCAUUAUUUGAAUAGAUAUUUUUCUCCUUUUUCGCGUCCGACUGAUCGUAACUUAUCUUCAAAUUCAAAUAAAAAAGAAAAAAAAUUCAAGACUGAGAGUAUUUUAGAUAGUCAUUCAAGAGCUUGACUGAUUUCAUAUUGGUCUGUGCAACAAAUUUGCAAAUUUUUUAAAAGACAACUUUGAACUUUAGACAUGCAUAAUUUUUUUAAUACACAGGGAAAAUGUAUAUAUAAAGUACAAGGAAAGAUAUAUCUAUAUAAAUUAAAUUAAUUUUACACACCCUUUUAUAUUUUUUUAUACAAUUUAUAUUUUGUUAAUCCAAUCAUUGAUUUCAAAUUAUAUUCACAUAAAUCAUGCAUAACAGAUUUCAAAUUAAUUAAAACUGAUUAACUAUUUAUUUGAUAAAAAUAAAAUUUCAAUUGUUAAAUAUAUUGAAAAAAUAAACAUUUUACCAAAUUGACUUUGAAAUUACAUGAUAAGUACAAGUUGUUAAAUCUAACAAUAAAAUAUUAAUUUUUAAAGAAAUUAUAAAAAAUGUAAAACUAAUUAGUUUUACGCAAAAAAAUUAAUUUAUUGUUAUUUAGGCUUUUGUGUGCAAUUUUUUCAUAUUUAACAGUAGUUGAAAAUAUGCGGUCUUUACUAAUAUAUGCAUGUGAUAUUUUUGUCCAAAAAUUACCAAAAACAUAUAGAACUGCGAAAUCCGUAAUGUUGUAUGGAAAAGGAUUUUUAACAACACAAGCGAAAGAAAAAAUUUAAUAAAUACAAAGUUAAUAUAGUUUGUUAUUUCCACUUAUUCAAAGGAAGAUUUGAUUUCAAUUGCAGCCACAGGAAUAUUUAGCAAAGCAAUGAAGGUAACAUUAUCCUAACUCUUAUUUAAUCUUUCUGGUUAAACUUUUUUUUACAUAAUAUUCCCAAAAAAAAACUUUUUAUACUUAUAAAAAUUAAAUAUAAGAUAUAUGGAGAUUGAUCAAUUUUACUUAGAAUUAUUAUUUUAUAUAUUAGCAAUGGAAUUUUGAAAUUCCAAAUUUUAUAACAUUAUGUAAGUCACAUUGUAUUUAUUUAUUUAUUGAGGGGUUAUAUUAGUCUCCCUACCGUGCAGAUAUGCUUGGAUGAAUUAGAAAGAUUUCUUUUCUGUCAGUUUCGUAAUGUAUCAAUUGGUUGGACACAGAUUUUCUUCUUUCUUGUUUGUUUGUUUGCGUGGAAAAUCACCCAUGAUUACUAUGAUUGGCUUUGUGGUAAAAGUGUGUUGCGGUUUGGGUUUAAUUAGUUGACUGACUUUUCAAAAGAAGACUUGGUUCUAACAAUAAAUCUAGGAGAACAUCAUAGUGCUUCUUCACAAACUAAUUAAGCCCUUAAUCUCCUUCUCUCCCGCUGAAAUUUUAGGAUGCUAAGAGCAAAACUUCCAUUAUUCGGCCUUCUGGCCCUUGCUUUAUCUCUAUUCCCUGAUGCAUGCAUCGCUAGAGGCAAACACAAGCACUGUCGCUCUUCUUCCUGUGGAAACAUUAACAUCACUUACCCUUUUCGAUUAAAAAGCCAGCCUCAUAGGUGUGGUUACAAUGAGCUUGAACUAGUGUGUGAGAAUAACCGCACCAUUUUCCCCAUGAAAUAUGGUUAUGGGAAUUUCUAUGUCCAACACAUCUCUUAUAGUAACAAAACCAUUCAAAUGUUAGACGUGAGUCUUGACGAGGAUAACUGCUCCAUUCCUCAUAGUUCCUACCCUUUCUACGUGGAUGCACUAAAUAUAUAUUCCUAUCAAACUACCACUGAACCUAGCAUCAUGUAUCUCGUAAAUUGCCCGAUCCAGAUCAACAACUCUUGGGUUUAUAUUGAUGCUUUUCGUUGUACCAAUACCCCUUCCUCUCGACCUCCUUACUUUUACUUUUUGGAUGAAAAUACUGCAAUGUCUAAUUUCCAUGAGUCAUGCACAGUUGAAGCGCAGGUUCCAAUCAUGGUUGCCAAUAUCACUGGCCUCUCUACUUUUGAUAUUUACACAAAGCUGUUGGAGGGAUUCCAACUCUCAUGGUCUUCGUAUGAUGAUAUGUCAAGGUGAGACUCAGUUUUUAACGCGUGAGGAUUUUUAAGUAUUCCAAACUAUUUGGUGCAUUUUAGUUUUUGAAAAGUAUUUAUUAUUUUUAGUUUUUAAUUUUUAAAUUACCUUUUUAACUAUGUAUAUAAAUUUUUAUAAUUAGAAUCACAAAUUUUUAUUACUGUAGUAUCUUCUUCAGACUUUGAUUAUUUACUUUUACUCUAAAUUUGUUUAAUGUAAAAUUUAAACAGAAGCAUUUAAAAUAUUUUAAACAGUGAAAGUGCGCAUUUCAUGGCCUUAUUAAGGAUAACGGUUUUGAUGUGCUUUCUUGAAUAUUAAUUAUAGAUUGCUCUGGCUGUUGCUGCAUCCGCUGCAAAUAUAUAUUCAAAGCAUCAUGGCUUUGUUUCAACCAGAUUAUUUCUAUGCACCUUAUAAAGGUAUUCGUUCUUUUUUGAGUUCAUUAAUAAUUUGAUUCUUAUUGGAUUGGCCUUUACUUUCCUGUAUAGUUGACUUGACUCUUUACGUGCAUCAUAAGUAAACUGUUAAAUUUAAUAGUUGGUUUAUUAAAAUAUUAAUAGUAUACGAAGUUAUAAAAAAUUUAUAAAAAUUAAUUAAUUAAUUUUAUAGUGGUGUUGUGUGAGUAUCGCAUAUAUGUAUACGUAUGUAUCCAAGUGACUACAUAAAAGAAGAUCCAUCAUAAAUGAUUCAUAAAUAAUUUUGAACUACAUUAAUUGGGUAUUUUUUAACUAGGUAUUUUUAUGAUGUUGUGAUUUUUUUGGUCAAAAUAAAAAUUAUGUGGAAUAAGGUCUAAAUUUACCAUUCUAUAUAUUUCGGAUAAUGGAUCAAACUUGUCAGCAUCUUUGAACGGGUGUAAUUUUGCCAUUAUACUUUUAAAUUAGUUAAAAAUGUAAUCAAAAGUUAAGACUAAUGUUAAUUUUUGACCAUUUUUGAAGUAAAUUAAAAUGUAUAAUGGUAAAAAUUGCACUUGUUUAAAAAUAAAAUAAUAAAUUUGAUCCAUCACCUUAAAUAAACUAGUGUGUGUAAAUUUAAAUUUUAUCCCAAAUUAUGUUAUGAAUUUUGUUGGGGAAAAUAUGGCAGCACAUACCCAACUUAAAUUGGUAAAUGACAUAUGCAUAGCAUAUAAUCAUGUUGUCCAACUAAUUAAUAUAUAUAUUGUUAUGUAAUUUUUUUUUUGUGAAACAGGAAUUAUAUUGCUAAGAACACUUUUGGGGAUAAUUUGCUUGAUUAUAUUGGUUAUACGCAAAUUAAAAAGGAGGCAUUUGUCGAUGGAUGACAUGAUUGAGAAUUUUCUUCAGAGUCAAAACAAUUUAAUGCCUAUAAGAUAUUCUUAUUCUGAAAUAAAAAGAAUGACGGAAGGUUUCAAGAAUAAACUAGGACAAGGAGGAUAUGGCUCUGUGUUUAAAGGAAAACUUCGAAGUGGUCAAUUUGUUGCGGUAAAAUUGUUAAACAAAUCAAAAGCUAAUGGUCAAGAUUUCAUCAAUGAAGUUGCAACUAUUGGAAGAAUUCAUCAUGUUAAUGUAGUAAGACUCAUUGGAUUUUGUGUGAAGGGAUCGAAACAAGCUCUUGUAUAUGACUUCAUGCAAAAUGGAUCCUUAGAUAAAAUAAUAUUUUCAACUGAAAGUAACACUUUGAGUUGGCAAAAAAUGUUUGAGAUUACAUUGGGAGUGGCUCGAGGUAUUGAAUAUUUACAUAGAGGUUGUGAAAUGCAAAUUUUACAUUUUGAUAUUAAGCCACAUAACAUUCUUCUAGAUGAGAACUUCAUCCCGAAAGUUUCAGAUUUUGGCCUUGCAAAAUUGUAUUCGGUGGAUGAUAGUAUUGUCUCUCUCACGGCUGCAAGAGGUACAUUAGGAUAUAUGGCUCCUGAAUUGUUUUAUAAAAAUAUUGGAAGCAUCUCAUAUAAAGCUGAUGUUUAUAGUUUUGGAAUGAUGUUAAUGGAAAUUGUCGGAAGGAGAAAAAAUGUGAAUGUCUCUGCUGAACAUUCGAGUCAAAUUUAUUUUCCAUCAUGGAUUUAUGAUCGACUUGAAGAAGGAGAUAACAUAGAGCUUAGAGAUGUAACGGAGAAUGAAAACAAAAUUAUGAGGAAAAUGUUAAUAGUAGCCUUUUGGUGCAUACAGAUGAAGCCCACAGAUCGUCCUUCAAUGAGCAAAGUCUUGAAGAUGCUUGAAAGUGAAGUUGAGCUCCUUGAAAUGCCUCCCAAGCCUGCUUUCUCUUGAAAUGUCAACCAAAUCAUUUGGUGUUGUAUUAUAAGUAAUAUUUAAUAUUGUAUGUUAAGCAAUGUUUCACUACUUUAUUAUAUUACUUUUAUAAUUUUUAUAGUAGAAACCUUAAGCUUGAGGCAUAAUCUUCUCUCUUCCAAAAAAAAACAAAAGAAACAAAAACAAUAUAGAGUGGUGAUGAAGAUAGUAUAGCAAGGAAAAGAAGGAUACUGAGUUGGAGUUUUGAGCCUGCGAAGGUAUUAUUUUAGGAGAUUUGUAAUGGUAUCUUGUUAGUAUUUUGUUUAUAUAAAAAGUCUUUUGUUCAUACAAAGGGCAAAGACUUUAAAUAGCAUUGUCUAUACAAUCAUUAUGUUAAUGCAAAUAGUUAACCAAGUUUUUAAAAAAAUUAAAGAUUUUUCUAAACCAUGUUUGGAAUUAUAAAUUUUUUAUUUAAAAAAUGUAAAUUAUUUGAGUUUUCUCUCUUAAUUAAAAAAGUCAAAUGUUAUCGAAUUCAAAUAUUUAUUUAAAACGAUUCAAAAUCAAAUUCAAUUUAAUUCAAAUUAAAUGACAAAAAUUAAAAAUUUGAAUCCAAAAAUAUGUGAAUUUAAAAUGAUAUUAAUACAAUCUACCUUCAACAUAACUCGAAUCUAAAACGAACCGAGCUCAUAAUGAUCCAAAACCCAAGAUUUAUUUGAUCCAAAACUUAUAAAAACUUAUAUUUAUAACUCCAAAAAAUCCAAAUUAUAAUUAAAUAAAUUUAUUUAAUAGCUAAAUGAGUAAAUGAUUAUUUUUUAAGUGAAAAUUUUAAGACACACAAGCACCUUUUUCUCGUCAAUGCUUUUUCUUUGCACAGAAAAAGCGCAUAGGAAUGGCAUGGUCAACUACUCUGCUUCACCUUCACUUCAAAUUCCCUCCGGUUUCUUCUCAUCAAUUGCCACAUUCCCUCCCCAAAAAAUCCCCAAUCUUCCUAAACCCUAUCCCUAUAAUUCCCAAUUCCAAACACCCCAAAAUGCAAUUCCUUCACAGACCCAACGCGUUUCCAGGCCAAGGCGCAGUAUCAAAAGCCAUGGACAUCAUCCAAUCCUCUCUGCCCACGUGGCAAUCGGCCUUCCUCAGCAACCUCGUGAUCUUCGUUGUCGGAACCCCACUUUUAAUAGCGGGACUAUCUCUCUCCGGAAUUUGCGCUGCCUUCUUGCUUGGCACUCUCACUUGGCGCGCUUUUGGGUCUUCUGGGUUCCUCCUCGUUGCUUCUUACUUCGUUAUAGUGAGUCAUUACAAAGUCUAUGGAUUUUAUUUGAAUUAUAGGAUUUAAGUUAAAUUUAGAAAUGGGGUUCUGAUUUUUGUUCCCAUUUGGUAUAAAGUUUACGCUUUGGAGGACAAGUUUCAUUGUUUGGUAAAUAUGGCAAAGGAAAAGAAAUUUAGUUUAUGUCAAAAAGAUUUCAUGUGACGUAGUUUGUUAUUUAAGUGUGAUUUGUUUUUGUUUAAAGAAUUGGAUUACACUAGGUGAAAUCAGGUCAAAACCAUAACCAAAAUAUUUUUUCCAAAAUUUCUUUAUUUUCAUUUGUUUUCCUCUUGGUGGGGGGCAGGUGGAGGAGCCAGGGAGAAUUUAUGGGUUCUCGCAGUUUUAGACUAGUUUGAAACGAUAUAGUAUUGUUUUUCCUGCUUUCCUUUCUGAUAAUGGCUUGUUUUACUUGCAAAAUGAAUCUUGAAUUAGUUCCUCCUUCCCUCUUCUGAUUUUCCCUACCCAUAUUUCUAGUUGAAGAUAAUAGUUUCAAAUCAUGCUUGAAAACUAUAUUACAAAAUACUUGUAAUAUCAAACAAUUUUGUGUGGCAUUCGAGUUUCUAAUUUGAAUGGAGAAAUAAUUGGGAUGGAAGUGGUAUUAAAUUUAGAGGAAAGAAACAAGAAUGCCUUUUGCAACAUUACAAAGAAAAGAAAAGAAAACCUAGUAUAAAACUUCGGAAGAUGCUUGAUUAUAAGGUGCUGGGCUUUUGAGGACCUGAGACUUCAUAAUACUUUAUAAUUCUCUAGAUCUUCAGGCAAUCUUACAGCUCUUUGUCAUGCCUCUAAAACAAAUGCGGUAAAACCAUGCUCAAUUGUUCAAAUUGUUAUGCUCAAUUGAGAACUCCUGACCUGUUAUGUGUGUGUGGAGAUGAUAACACCAAUGAAUGGCCUUGUUAUACGGAUGACCGCUCAUGAUAAUUGCUACUUCAAAAAUUAUUGGCUUAGAUUUUGCUGCUGUGUUUUGAAACUUGUUGGCAUGCCUCACGAAUGCUGCGAAAUGUGCAGAAGGUUUCUGAGAUCUUGCUGCCAUCUAAGAAGAAAGAAUAGGUGAAAUUGUACAGGUACUAUGAAUAUGAUGUAAUGUUUAGCUUUUUUAUAGGGACUUCCUUUUUGUAUAGUGAACUUGGUUGCAUUGGAAUGAGUCUGUUCUCUGGGAAGAAUCACUGUUCUGAAAUUUGUUAAGUCUGAUCACAAUUGCAACCAGGAGCGGCAUGCCUUGCUUUUCUUCUCAUAGGGCAUGAGGGUAUCCCAUCAGGGUUCUUUUUGUGAACCCCUCUUAUGAAAUAACAUCUUCUAUGCCUUUCCAAAAAAAAAAAAGUAACAAUCACAUGGCAUAAUUUUUUCUUACAAUAUGAGAGUACUACAUCAGAGUUUCUUAAUGCACUAAGAAAAGUUAGAGAUAAGGUCUAAGAAAAUAUCAAUUUCAAGAAGAAACAAAUAACACUAGAAUCAUAUUUUACAAAAAUAUCAUAAUUGAGUCAUGUAUAUAAAUAAUUUUGAUGUAUGAGGAAAUUAUUAAUUUAUAUAUCAAGUGAGAUCUAUGUGUUUUUUUUCAAAAUGUAUUAUCUUAUUAAUUUAACAAAUUAUUAAUUUAUCAUGUUGAUCUCAAAUCAGGACCAACCAAAAUUAAUAUUUAUUCAAAAUUAUUAAUUUAUCAAGUAUUAUUUAUAGAAGAUUUGUUGUACUUCUUUGUAAUUCACUCUAAAUAAAAGGGUAUGUUGAAACAAGCGGAAUUUAGAUCCCUUAUGGUUCUUGCUACAUUUAAGUACUAUUAAUGUCAUUUAUGCUGGUUAUAAAGAUCUGACAUUUUAUUUAGAAACAAAAUUUGUAGAGUGUCAAGCUUUAAUAGCUUUUUUUUUUUGUUGCUUUUUAAUGUUUAUAUUCGUUGCUAUAUACUAUUUUUUUCCCUAUCAAACCAUUCUUUCAUGCUUACAAAUUUAAAUUUGUGGUGUGCAAAAAUUGUUGGUGUAUUUUCAAAAAUCAAAGGUUAUGUCACAUAAUCAAAAGCUAUCUUAGCUCAAAGGUUUGUCACAUAAAGUGACAUAGUGUGACUAUUGGAUUGUAGACAGGUUAUNUUGGUGUAUUUUCAAAAUCAAAUGUUAUGUCACAUAAUAAAAAGCUAUUUUAGCUCAAAGGUUGUCACAUAAAGUGACAUAGUGUGACUAUUGGAUUGUAGACAGGUUAUUGUUUCAUUAGAUAUGAAAAGUUAUUGUUUCAAAUUAUAACUCAAAGAUUAUGAUUUAUGGAAUGAAUAGUUGUCCUUUCAUUAGAUGAUUAUUGAAACAAUACAUUUAUCUUAAAGUUGUGUCUAGCAAAAUGUAAAGAUGUCUUUUAGACAAAAUGGUGUCUUAAUAAAAGGGUUGUGUCCUUGAAGAAGAGACACUUGCAAGCCUAUGUAAAGGGCUUGUUGCCAACCAUUUUUACACAUCAAAUCAAAAACAAAACAAGAACAGAAAAUCAAGAGUAAGAAAGUGUUGUGUUCUAUUAACAUAAACACUUAAGUUCCCAUCAACUACAAAAGCAUCAAAAUUUCUUAUAAUCUACUUGUUGUAGAAAGUAAGCUCUAAAGCCAAACAACUUUGCAAACCCUUAGAUAUAUCUAGUGGUCUACUCUCGUAAAGUGCAAGACAAAGUUAAACGUUAGCUUCAUUGUAUCCUUAAAACUAUUCGCAUUAUUUCUCUUUGCAUACUGAGUGGUGGGGAUGAAAUAAGUUUUAAAAAUAAUGUCUAUUGAAAAGCUCGCCUUAAAAUCAAUUUUGUUGGUUCUUAAAUUUCAUCUAAACCUCAUUUGCACCAACAAAAAUGAACAGGUACCUACUUUACUUUAUUAUUCUACUUUUAUUAUAUAAUUUUUAUAGUCUCCUUUUUCAUCUUAUAUACGGAAUCAGAUCCAUAUAGAAACCUUAAGCUUGAGGCAUAAGCUUCUCUCUUAUGAAAAUAAAAUAAAAUAAAAUAAAAUAAAAAUCAAGAGCAGUAUAUAUACCAUUGUGAAUGAAUAAAGUAUAAAAUCAUAGUGCCUUUUGAGAUACAAAACAUUGUGAAUGCGACAAGAAGUAUUAGUUGUAAUGUGUUAAUGGUCAUUUUUAAAUCAAAUUAAAAAUGUUACUAUUAGCAAUAUCAAGAAUUGCCAAGGAGAAAUUCAUUGAUAAAAUGACAAAUACCCGAAUUCUCUUCAUUGGCAACUUUACUAAAAAUCACUUUCAACGAAAAAAAAUUAGUAAAAGAUCUUCCAUAUUAUCUCUAUAUAUAGUAUAAUAUCAAAAUUUAGUAUUCUAAAAAUUUUAUUUUAUGCUGUUUUAGUACUAACAUAUUUUAAACAAUAUCAUUGUUUAUAUUAUUAUUACACGGACACUACUUACAUAUAAUAUAUAUAUAUAUAUAUAAAAGAUAAUAGCAUUGUUAGCUUUAUUAGAAUGAAUAAUUGAUUUUUUUUAAAAAUAGAAUGAAUAAUCUAACGAGAUGAAUUGGAUUUUAAAAACUUUUUUUGACAAAAUAAAAUCUAAAAAAAAAACACAUCAAAUAAUAAAAUCAAAACCAUUAAAUAAAUAUUUAACUGAAAAUAAAUGUAAUAAAAAUAAAUAGUAUAGGGUAAAAAUAUUUGCAAGAACCAUUUAUAAAGGUUCAAUCUUGUCUCUUGGUAUUUAUGUCACAAGUCUACUUUCUAAUCCAAAAGACAUGCAUAUUAAGUAAAGAUAGACAUUUAUUUAUAAAUCCAAGACUCAACUCAUCUCUUAUUAAUGUAAGAUCUAUCACAUUCUACCUCACCUAAUUGUUCAAUACGUUCGUUGCAUCGGCUCCUUUACUCAUAGAGGAGAGGGACCGUAUCUUGAUCUAAGUCUACCUCGAACCUGAUAUCUUUUAUAAAAGUUUCAUACUAGUUAAGAGUUAAGUUUGCUCUAAUACCACUAAUCACGAGUUCACAUUUCUAAUCCAAAAAAUAUACAUAUUAGAUAGAGAGAGGCCCUUAUUUGUAAAUCAAGACCCACCCAUAUGACACUUACAUUCUCUCUCUUAGUGUAGUAAAGAGUUCAAUACACUACUUAAUUCAACCAAUACAAAUACUAUUUUCUUGCGUAUCCAAAACAUGCAAAAAAUGCUCUACUUCCCUAUGUGAUACCUCAGAUGAAAUAAAUUAUUUCCUCAUCUUUAAAAGAAAAUACAAUAAUUGUAAAUUUUAUUUUUCUCCUAUUUUAUGUAACAGCCUCAACUUUGACUAAGGUUAUAAAUUACUUGUGUUGAACCAUUUGAUAACUUGCCAUGAGAUUUAAACAUAUGUAUUAAAUAUAUGAACAAAUGACAAUGUGUUUAAGGAUCUUGAAUGAUAAACUAUUAGGGUAAAAUACCCUUACCCCUCUAAGUUUUGAUUGAAAUUACAUGGAGGUCCAUUAGUUUUCAAAAUAGACACUCCGCCCCAAAAAAAUAUUUUUCACUGGACAUUUAGGUCCAGUUGUUAGUCAACCAUUAGUGUUUCCGUCAAUUUGAUGAUGUGAUAAGGGUAAAAACAUAAUUUCACCAUUGAUUAAUUUUUAAAAUUACUAUUAUAUAAUUUUAUUAAUUUUUUAAUUAAUUAAAAUAAAAAAGCUCCUCAAGGAGCAUUAAAGCUCCCUGGGAAGCACCAAUCGGGUGCUCCCCUCCCUUGAGGAGCACGAUGCUCUCUUUUUUAAAAUUUUUUUAAACAUAUAAUAUAAUUUUUAAAAUUUAUAUAAAAAAAAGAAAAGACAUUUUAGUCUUUUCCUAAUCUCUAUUAACGGUAUUUUCAUUUUUAGGACAAAGUGUCCAUUUCAAAAACUAAUAGACCUGCUUAAAAUUUGAACUAAAACUUAAAAGGUAGGGGUAUUUUACCCUAAAAUAUUAUGUUUUUGAUUAGAUUUUAGACCUUAAGCUAUGUGUUGAUAUGUUUUGACACUGAAUAUUGGUUAAUGUGGUGCAUACUAGUUGCAUUAAGAUGAAUAUUGAAAUAACAAAUCGUUUUGGAAGUCCAAAUUUGGAGUUAGGUAGUUUGAAGUGUUGAAAGUUUGCCUUUAGGAGAAAAUGUAUUGAUAAAUUCCUUGAUCUAUCAAUACAUUCAUGGCAGAAUGCCUUGGCAAAGCUUUCUAUCAAUACAUUCUAGAAUGUUUCGAUAGAUUUGGGCCAGGAGGCAUUCUAUAUGAAAACUCUCGAACAUUACAAGAACGUAUUGAUAGAUUUAAAAAGAUGGAUAUUUUGUAAAAAAGGUAUUUAUAGAUUUUCUUGAUCGAUCGAUACAUUUCAAGCAUAAAGCAUUCUUUUAAAUUUACUUCAAUAUGUUGGUACAUGUAUCGAUAGAUCUGAUGAAAAUUCGUGAAAAUGUAUCAAUGCAUGAUUGUAAGUCAGCAAAAAUAAAAGAGACUUUGGGCAUUCCACCCAUUUGAAAACACAAGGAAACAAAAGCUUUCCCUCCUUGCCUUUGAAACCCUAAAACCCCCUAGUAGAUUGGAACUAAUUUGGAGUACUUGGAAGCUUGGAAAUUCAUACUUAAGGUAAGAUCAAGCUUCCUAACAUUUUGAAUUACAUUUUAAUCGGUUCAAAAAUGAGAAUUUGACUAUGGUUUCAUCUCAAUUAUCUUCUCCUUGAGUUGUUGGGAUUUUGGAGUCUUAAGGGCUUAGAAUAGCUGCCAAGGUGAGGAAACCUAACUGUUUUGAACAUUGGAAACAAUGAAACCUAUGAUUUGGAUUGGUAGUUGGAUUUAGAAGCUCAGUUAGGCUUAGAAAAUCUGUGCAUGCUUUGAAAAAAGCUAAAGGUCUAGAAUUUAUGGAUUUGUUAGGUGAAGUGGGAACUUAGAGCUGUUGAUGAACUGAAAUUCUAUGUGGAAUGAUGGACGCAGUGUUUAGCUGAGUGUGAUGUCUUGGCUUCUUCUUGGAAGAAUGUUGCAGCACUAAAACUUUACUAUUUAGCAAUGUGAGUUACGUUAGAGAUAUUCUAGGUCAGUGGGGCAUUUUAUCUAGAAAUUAAGAUUUGAUGUAUGUAUGCACAAAUGUAUGCAUGUGCACUGCCAUGAAACAUGAUUGGUUGAUAAAAUGCUUAGAUGAACUAUGCAUAGGCCGAUGGGUUGAUUGAGCUCUAUUAUAGCUAUGUAUGUUAAUAAUAAAAACCUGUUUGAUAUUGGGUGAGCCAUGUGGUGGUGAUUGAGCUUGACUGUCUUAGUAUUCGCGACUAAAAAGUCUAUUGACCAUGCCUCUGCGCUUGUAUAAAACUUAUAACUUGAUACCUUUUUCUGUGGUAGCGUAUGAUUAUUGCUAAUUCUACGAAAUAAUGUUAUUAGUGAACUAUGGAAAAUCUGAAUUAUGAAAGUUGAUUGAGUUGCAUUCGUAAUUAUGCAUGUAUGAUGCCAAAUGGCUAUGUUAAUGACUUUUGCACAUGUAAUGGCGACACAAUUCCUAAUGGUAAUUGGUUUCGUCUUACGAGUGCUUUCUGGACGAUGAUAUGGUCUAGUUAGAAGGUGUCAUAGUCCCUGUGGUCUUGCUUACCAUUAGCAGUUUAGGCGUUGGACGUGUUUUGUUUACUUGGGAAGACCCUUCUCUUGUUACCAUCUUGAUGAUAACACAAUUUAAUUAGUUGACUUGACUGUCUUUUCAAUCCAAGACAAGUGAGCGAGAAAAACUGCACCAUUGCUCCAUGAAACCUUACAACUCUUAGACGUGAGUCUUGACCUCAUCGAUAGUUCCUAUCCUUGCUACACUCCUUGUGGAAAAAGCCUACCACUCGGCAGAAGAUAUGGUAUGCAUCUCCCUCAUCAUACAUGCACCUUAACAUAGGGUCAUGUAUCUCUUAAAUUGUAGGAUGAAGAUGAAGUCUUCGGUUUACAUUGAUGCUUUCUCAUUGCACCAAUCGAUGUUCCUCUCCACAUUAUUUCAUUCUUCAGUCAAAUUAUUCAUUGUUAACAACUAACGGAAAUGUAAGUGUGGAUUAUUCACGUGACAUGUUAAAUAAUUUUUACCAUGAUAUUUUAUUACUGUUAACAGUACAAUCUGAUAAAAAGAAUAAAAUGAAACCAUUUUAAAAUAUUAUGUGUAAAAUAUAUGAAAAAAGAUUAUAGAUUUAAUUUGAUUACAUUGCUGCCGGACUUACCAAAAUAAUUGUAGAAGCAUGUCUAAUGAUUAUAGGCAUAGCUCUUCAAAGAAAAAUACUGUUUUAUACUUAACAAAAAGAUAAAUGUAAAAUAUAAAAUUGAUCAAUUUUGUUUAGAAUUAUUAUUUUAUAUAUUUUGAAAUUUUGAAAUUUCAAAAUAUAUAAUAUUAUUUAAGUCGUAUUAUAUAUUAUAUAAUUGAAGGGUUAUAUUAAUCGCCUUACUGUGCAGAUAUACUUGGAUGAAUUAUAAAGAUUUCUUUUCUAUUAGUUUCGCUACGUAUCAAUUGGUUGGACACAUUUUAUAAUAAAUAUAAGAGACCAUCAUAGUGCUUCUUCACAAACUAGGACCUUAAUCUCCUUCUCUCCCGCUGAAAUUUUAGGAUGCCAAGAGCAAAACUUCCAUUAUUUUGCCUCUUGGCUUUUGCUUUAUCUCUAUUCCCCGACUGAGGCUCUUCUAUCUGUGGAAAUGUUACCAUCAAAAAGCCCUUUAAGUUAAAAAGCCAACCUCUCAGGUGUGGAAACCGUGAGCUAGUAGUCGAGUGUGACGAUAAUAACCACACCAUUUUCCCCAUGAAAUAUGGGAAAUUCCUUGUCCAAGACAUCUCUUAUAAUAACGGUACAAUUCAACUUUUAGACGAGAGUCUUGGCAAUGAUAACUGCUCCAUUCCUCAUAGGUCCUAUCCUUUGUACAUCCCUUUUGCGAAAAAACAACGUCUCUAUGAAGAUACCACUGAAUUUAGCAUCAUGUAUCUCGUAAAGUGCACGAUGCAGAUCAACUACUCUCGGGUUUAUAUCGAUGCUUUUCGUUGCACCAAUACUCCUUCCUCUCUACCUCCUUACUUGUAUUUUUUGGAUAAAAAAACAGCAAAGUCUGAUUUCCAUGAGUCAUGCAGAAUUGAAGCCCAGGUUCCAAUCAUGGUUGCCAGUAUCACUGGCCUCUCUACUUCUGAUAUUUACACAAAACUGUUGACGGGGUUCCGACUCUCAUGGUGGGAUUAUGCUUAUCAGUUUGGCUGGCUGCGGUGGGACUCAAUUGUUAACGUGUGAGGAUCUUUAAGUAUUCCAAAAUAUUUGGUGCUGUUUAGUUUUUGGAAAUGUUAACUAUUUUUAUUAUAAAUAAACAAAUAAGAUAAAAAUUUUAGUCUUUAUUUCUUUUUAAAAAGUUGACAACAUUUUUAAAUUACUAUUUUAACUAUGUAUAUUAAUUUGUUAUCUAAAAUUUAAACUCGAUAUUUUUAAAGAAUUACAGACUUUAAUUCUAUUAAUGUAGUGUCUACUUCAGACUUCAAUUAUUUCCUUUAAAUAUGUUUAGUGUAAAAUUUAAAGAUAAGGAUUUAAAGCAUUUUUAACAGUAAAAGUGUGCAUUCCAUUUAACUUAUUAAGGAUUAGCGGUUUUGAUGUUCUUUCUUGAAUAUUAAUUAUAGAUUGCUAUGGGUUUUAAAAAAAAAAGGAAGUAUAGAUUGCUAUCCUUGGUCAACCUUUUGCUGGCUCCGCUGUUUAUAUUUAUUGAAAGCAACGCGGCUCUUCUGCUAGGCAUCCCAACAGAGGAUUCAUUGGUAGAUAACAAAGGUGUUCUUUCUUUUCUGAGUUUGUUACUAUUUUGAUUAUUAUUGGAUUUACCUUUACUUUCCUAGGAUCUAUUAACACUUAGUUCUCGAAUCGGUAAAAUCUUAGCAUGAAUCCAGAUUUAUAUUUAUAUAUCAUUAAUUUAACAAUUGUAUUUCGUAAUCUAUUUACUUAUAUCAUGCAUGAUAAAUUUUAAGUUAAUUGAAAAUAUUUAAUUAUUUAAAUGAGAACAUUAAAAUUUUGACCAUUAAAUAUAUAUUAAAAAACCAAUAUUCUUGAGCAAUACGAUAUGGAUUAUCACAUUGAUUUGAAAUUUUAAAUGUAUGAUGAGUACGAAUAGUGUAUGAAAUUAUAAAAAGGUGUAAAACUUAAUUAAUUUUUAACUUGAGCCCUCAAAUUUAUAUAGUUUGUAUGAGUAUUGCAUAUAAAGUAUAUGUAUGUACAAAGAGAUUCCAAUAAAGGAUAAAAUUAUUUAAUAAGAGACGAUAUACUAUAAAUAAUUCAUGAAUAAUAUUGAACUACAUUAAUUGGGUUUUUUUCAGUUAGGUAUUUCUAUGUUGUUACGAUUUUUUUGGUCAAAAUAAAAAUUUUGUCCAAGUUUAUCAUAUUACUUGAAUGAGUACAAUUUUGUCAAUAUACUUUUAAAUUUGUUAAAAGAGAUCAAAAGUUACAAAAUGAACUAAAAUGUACAAUGAUAAAUAUUACACUCGUUAAAAAAAUAAAUAGUAAAUUUGAUCCAUCACCUUAAGUCUAGUGGUGAUAAAUUUAAACCUUAUCUCAAAUUAUUUUAUGAAGUUUGUUUGUGAAAUAUGGCAACAUAUACACAAAUUAAGUUAGUAACUAGCAUGUACAUAUUCUAUAAUCUUGUUGUCCAACUAAUUGGUUUAUAUAUAUGUUUUGUACUCUCUUUUUUUUUUUAUGAGAAACAGGAAUUAUAUUGUUAAGAACUUUUUUGGAGAUAACUUGCUUGAUUGUAUUUGUUAUACACAAAUUAAAAAUGUGGCAUUUGUCUAUGGAUGACAAGAUUGAGAAUUUUCUUCAGAGUCAAAACAAUUUAAUGCCUAUAAGAGACUCUUAUUCUGAAAUAAAAAGAAUAACAGAUGGCUUCAACAAUAAAUUAGGUCAAGGAGGAUAUGGCUCUAUAUUUAAAGGAAAACUUCGAAGUGAUCAACUUGUUGCAAUAAAAUUGUUAAACAAAUCAAAAGCUAACACCCAAGAUUUCACCAAUGAAGUUGCAACUAUUGGAAGGAUUCAUCAUGUUAAUGUGGUAAGACUUAUUGGAUUUUACGUGAAGGGAUCAAAACAAGCUCUUGUAUAUGACUUCAUGAAGAAUGGGUCCUUGGAUAAAAUUAUAUUUUCAACUGAAAAUAACACUUUGAGUUGAGAAAAAAUGUUUGAGAUUGCAUUGGGAGUGGCUCAAGGUAAUGACUAUUUACAUAAAGGCUGUGAAAUGCAAAUUUUUCACUUUGAUAUCAAGCCACAUAACAUUCUUCUAGAUGAGAAUUUUACUCCAAAAGUUUCAGAUUUUGGCCUCGCAAAUUUGUAUUCAGUGGAUGAUGAUAUUAUUUCUCUCACAGCAGCACGAGGUACGCUAGGAUAUAUGGCUUCUGAAUUGUUUUACAAAAAUAUCAGAGGUAUAUCAUAUAAAGCUGAUGUUUAUAGUUUUGGAAUGAUGAUAAUGGAAAUUAUCGGAAGGAGAAAAAAUUUGAAUGCCUCUGCUGAACAUUCAAGUCAAAUUUAUUUUUCAUCAUAGAUUUUUGAUCAAUUAGAUGAAGGAGAUACCAUGGAGCUUGGAGAUGUGACAGAAAUUGAAAACAAAAUUAUGAGGAAAAUGGUAAUAGUAACCUUAUGGUGCAUACAGAUGAAGCCCACAGAUCGUCCUUCAAUGAGCAAAGUCUUGAAGAUGCUUGAAAGUGAAGUUGAGCUCCUUGAAAUGCCUCCCAAGCCUUCUUUCUCCGGAAAUAUCAACUAAAGAUAGUAAAAAUUCUCCCUGCACACGUGGCAAUCGGCCUUCCUCAGCUACCUCGUGAUUUUCGUCGUUGGGACACCACUCAACAUCGUGAUCUUGCUAAAUCUGAUGCCCUUAAGUCGAUUACUUUUUCUGUAUUUAGUUUUUUGAGUGGUACGUAGUUUUUGUUUCCACCGAGAUCUAGCAGGCAGUGUUUGUAUUCUCUUUACCACCUUGGUUUGUUUUGUUUCUGCUACUUCUCUAUUUCCCUGUAUGCGACCUUUGAUGAAAUAAAUCAUUUCCUCACUUAUAAAAAAAUUGCAAGAAAAUGUAAAUUUUUUCCCUUAUUUUAUAAAAAGAAAAUGUGUUAUAUCUUAUAUUAUAUUUUUAUGUACCUAUGUAUCUAUAGUAUUAGUUGUUUAAACUUUUUGGGUGUAAUUCAUUUUCAUAGAUAAUUAACAGCUUUUAUAAAAGUGCAGUCUUUGUCACUAUAUAUGCAUGUAAAUCUCUCUUUAACUGCAAUUGUUUUGCCCAAAAUACUUCUUAUAAAAGAUUGUACAGAGCAGCCAAAUUUGUAAAGUUCUAUCCUAAGUAAAAUAUUUUUAAUGACACAAAUUAAAAAAAUUAAAUGUCAAAUUUAUUGUGGUGUGUUUUUCCCCCUUUGACUCUAGACUCUAGCUUAUUAAAUUUUCAAAGGAAGAUUUGCUUUCAUUUGCAGCCAGAGAAUGAUUAGCAGAGCAACCAAGAUAAAAUUAUCUUAGUUCUUAUUUAAUCUUACUUUUUAAACUUUUUUAUACAUAUAAAAAAAUGCAAAAUAUGGACUGAUUAGUCCUUUUAGACUUGAUUGGUCGAAGGUGAAAUUUUAAGACUAAACGGUGAAUUUACAAGAUUGCUCGAAUGAUUUUAUUCCUAUUUGAGUGGAAAAUCAGCUAAGAGCUAUGAUUGGCUUGUGGUAAGGUGGUUGGCUUUAAUUAGUUGACUUGACUGACUUUUCGAACGAAGACAAGUGAGCAAGAAUAACCACACAUUUUCCCCAUGACAUAUAUAUGAGAAUUUCUAUGUGGAAAAAGCCAUAUAAAUCUUGGAGGUGAGUCCUGACAAAAAUAACUGCUCUAUUCCUCAUAGUUCCUAUCCUUGCUACACCCCUUGUAGAAAAAGCUUACCAUGCCACUCGGUAGGAGAUAGGGCAUACAUCUCCCUCAUCAUAUGUAUGCAUGCACGUCAAUAUAGGGUCAUGUGUAUCUCUUAAAUUGCAGGAUGAAGAUGAAUUCUUCGGUUUACAUUGAUGCUUUCCAUUGCACCAAUCGAUGUUCCUCUCCACGUUAUUUUGUUUCUUCAGUCAAAUUAUUCUCUGGUUAACAACUAAUGAAAAUGUAAGGAUAGAAUAUUCACGUAAUAUGUUACAUAAUUUAUACUAUAAUAUUUUAUCAUUGUUAACGGCACAAUUUGAUAAAAAGAUAAAAAAGAAAUCAUUUUAUUAUAUUAUGUGUAAAAUACAUGAAAAGAAAAGAUUACAAAUUUUAUUUGAUUACAUUACUGCAGAACUUACAAAAAUAAUUAUAGAAGCAUGGCUAAUGAUUAUAGGUAUUAUUUGGAUAGAUAUUUUUCUCAUUUUUCUUGUUUGACUGGUUGUAACUUGUCUUCAAAUUUUGAUAUCCACCAAAAAACUAUCCAAGAGCUUGAUUGUUUUAGAUAGUCAUUCAACAGCUUGACUGACUUUAUAUUUGUCUGUGCAACAAAUUUGAAAAUUUUUUUUAAAAAAGUCAAUAUUGAAUUUUAGACAUGCAUAAAUAGCAUAAUUUUUUAUUAUGCAGUGAAAAUAUAUGUAUAAAGUAUGAGGAAAGAUCUACUUAUACCGGUAUAAAAUUAAAUUAGUUUUACACUUUUUCAUGUCUUUUUAUUUCAUUUAUAUUUUGUUAAUCUAACCGUUCAUUUUAUGUUUUAUUCAUAUAAAUAUUCAUAGAUAGCAAAUUUCAAGUUAAUUGGAAAUGACUAACUACAUAUUUGAGAAAAAUAAAAUUUCAAUCAUUAAAUAUAUAUUGAAAAAAGGCAUUAUUCUCGGUUGAUGUAAUAAGAAUGUUGAAUUAAUAUGAGACUUUACGUGUAUGAUAAAUGCGAAUAAGUUGUUAAAUGUAAUGAUUCUAUUUGUUAAAAUAUUAAUUCCCUAAGAAGUUAUAGAAAAAUGUAAAGUACUUAGUUUUAGAGAUACAAGGCGAUUCCUCUUGGCCGGUAUAAAGUAUUGCUAUUUAGGCUUUUGUGUGCAAUUUUUUUUCAUAGCUAAUUGUUGUUGAAAGUGUGCAAUCUUUACUACUGUAUGCAUGUAAUAUUUUUGUCCAAAAUAUUAGCAAAAAAAAUGUUUUGAACUGUGAACUCCGUAAAAGUUCUAUACAAAAGGAUUUUAAACAACAAUAGUUAAAGAAAAAAAAUAAAUAAAUGAAAAUUUAAUUAUUAUAGUGUGUUUUUUCCACUUGUUCAAAGUAAGAUUUGAUUUCAAUUGCAGCCCUAGAUAUAAUCAGCAAAGCAAUGAAGCUAACAUUAUCCAAAGAUUUAAUGUUUCUCGUUAAACUUUUUUAUAUAUAAUUCUCCAAAGAAAAAUACAGUUUUAUACUUAAAAAAUAAAUGUAAAAUAUGAAAUUGAUCAAAUUUUUUCAGAAUUAUUAUUUUAUAUAUCUUGAAAUUUUGAAAUUCCAAAAUUUAUAAUAUUGUUUAAGUCAUAUUAUAUAUAUUAUUGAGGGUUUAUAGUAAUAUCCCUACUGUGUAGAUUUACUUGGAUGAAUUGCAAAGAUUUCUUUUCCAUCAGUGCCGCUACGUACCAAUUUGUUAGGUACACGGAUUUUCUUCUUUCUUGUUUGUUUGCGUGGAAAAUCAUCAAAAAGCUCUAUGACAGGCUUGUCGUUAAAGGUGUUUUGCGGGUUGGGUUUAAUUAGUUGACUGACUUUUCAAAAGAAGACUUGGUUUUAACAAUAAAUGUAAGAACUGCUUCACUUGCCUCUAUCAAAACGAGGACCUUAAUCUCCCACUGAAACUUUAGGAUGCUUAGCGUCAUACUUCCAUUACUUUGCCUCUUGGUUUGGCUUCAGUGCAAAUCUCCAAUCCAGUCGUUACAAAAAAAGACAAGUACUGUGGCUUUUCUUUCUGUGGAAACAUUAACAUCACUUACCCUUUUCGAUUAAAAAACCAGCCUCGUAGUUGUGGUUACAAUAGGUUUGAACUAGUGUGCCAGAAUAACCGCACCAUUUUCCCCAGGAAAUAUGGGAAUUUCUAUGUCCAACACAUCUCUUAUAGUGACGAAACCAGCCGACUUUUAGACGAGAGUCUUGGCAACGACAACUGCUCUAUUCCUCAUAGUACCUAUCCUCGGUCCACCCCUUCUGCAAAAAAACUAUAUCCCUGGCGUACCUUUUCAUGGGAAGAAAGAAAUUUCUAUCAAACUACCCCUGAAUUUAGCGUCAUGUAUCUCAUAAAUUGCACGAUGCAGAUCAACUACUCUUCCGUUUAUAUCGAUGCUUUUCGUUGCACCAAUACCCCUUCCUCCUCUCAACCUCCGUACUUUUACUUUUUGGAUGAAAAUACAGCACCGUCUGAUUUCCAUGAGUCAUGCACUGUUGAAGCCCAAGUUCCAAUCAUGGUUGCCAGUAUCAUCGGCCUCUCUACUUUUGAUAUUUACACAAAGCUGUUAACGGGAUUCCAACUCUCAUGGUUCACUUCCUCUUAUGAUUAUGUUUGGCUGCGGUGGGACUCAAUUGUUAACGUGUGAGGAUUUUUAAGUAUUCCGCAAUAUUUGGUGUUGUUUCGUUUUUGAAAAAUAUUUAUUAUUAUUAAUUUUUUUUGGAUCGUAAUAUUUAUUAUUUUUAGCAUACAUAAAUAUGAUAAAAAAACAAAUAUCAAAAUAUUUAGUUUUGAAUUCUUUUAAACUACUUUUUUAAUUAUGUGUAUAAAUUUGUAUCUAAAAUUUAAACUCGAUAUUUUAAUGUAAAAUUUAAAGAGAAGGAAUUAAGACAUUUUCAACACUAAAAGUGCGCAUAUCAUUUGCCUUAUUAAGGAUUAAUGGUUUUGAUGUGCUUUUUUGAAUAUUAAUUAUAGAUUGCUAUUCUUGCUCAAGCUGUGGUCGGUUCUGCCGAAGAUACUUGUACAAGGCAACAUAGCUUUUUUUGAACCAGAUUCUAUCGAUGGAUUUAGUAAAUGUAUUCUUUCGGUUCUGAGUUCAUUAAUAUUUUGAUUAUUAUUGGAUUUGCCUUUACUUUGAUAGAAUCUAUUUUCAUUUAUUUUCUGAUUUGGUAAUAUCUUUGCAGGAAUCCAGAUUCUUUGUGUUGCAAUAACAGGUACUAAAUUCUAUACUUAUUUAUUUACUCUUAAAUUCUACAAUUAUUAUAAUGUAUGACAUCAAUAAAUAUAUUAUUAUAUAAAUGGAUUAAAAAAUUAUUAAAUUAUUUAAAAAAUUCCUAAACUAUUUUACAACAAUUCCAAUAAGCUUUUCUUAAUUUUUAUUGCAUUCAAUCAAGCUAUUAUAUUUUUAUUUUGAACCAAAUAAACCCUUCUAAGUAACAGUUAACUAAUGUUAUUAGUUCAAAUGUCACUUGUUAUUUCAUACUCAUGUGACAUUGAUAUGAUGCUGACAUGGAGGAUGAAAAUGCCACAUAACCAUGUCAUAAUGCCAUAUACUCUGAUAUGUCAACAUAAUAUAUCCAUGUCAUAUGAUAUAAAAUAACAAAUGGUAUUUUGAUUAAUAACAGUUAGUUAACCAUUAGUUAUAAUGACUUAUUUGGUUCAAAAUAAAUGUUUAAGAGCUUGAUCAUACACAAUAAAAGAAUGAGAGUUUAUUUGAAUUUUUCUAAAUAGCUCAAGAAAUUUUUAAGUAUUAUGCAUUUUUGUGUGUGCGUGUGUGUAUAUGUACCAGUGUGAAAUUAAUUAAAUUUACACCUUUUCAUAUUUUUUAUAAGAUUUAUAUUUUGUUAAUUUAACCGGUGUAUUCCAUAUAUACUCAAUUUACAUAGAUCAUGCAUAAAAAAUUUUAAAUCAAUUGAAAAUAUCUAAUUAUUUGUAUAAUAAUAAUAAAAUUUUAACCAUUAAAUAUAUAUUUAAAAAACAAUAUUCUCUACCAAUGUGAUAUGGAUAUUGCACUGACUUGAAACUUUUUAUGUACGAUUGGAUGCAAAUAAAGUUAGCUUGCUAAAACUUAAUUGUAUAUGAAAUUAUAAAAUGGUGUAUAUAUAUAUAUAUAUAUGAGUAUUGCAUAUAUGUAUAUGUAUGUAUAAAGAGAUUCAAUAAAGGAUAAAAUAAUUAAAUAAGAGAAGAUCUACUAUAAAUUAUUCAUAAAUAAUAUUGAACUACAUUAAUUAGGUUUUUUUAGUAAGGUAUUUUUAUUUUGUUACGAUGUUUUUUGGUCAAAAUAAAAAUUAUGUCCAAAUUUAACAUUUUACUUUGGUGAUAGACCAAAUUAUGAUCAUAUUUAAAUGAGAAUAAUUGGCACUAUACUUUUAAAUUGGUUAAAAAUGAUCAAAAGUUAUGAAAUAAACUCAAAAGUACAAUAAUGAAAGUUACACUCAUUCAAAAAUGAAUAGUAAAUUUAAUCCAUCAUUUUUUUUAAAAGGUGAAUUUUUAUUAACCUCAACACUAUCAUGCCAUUUUGAUUCUCAAGCUUAGAUUGCAAGAGACUCUCAUGACAUAAAUAGUUAGUAAGCAGCCUGUACAAUUUCCAAAAAGAAUAUGCUACUCAAUAAGAUUUUGGUAGCAACUCAGGAUAAAGAAACUAACGUACCUUAAGCAGAUUGGUGGUAAAUUUGAACCUUAUCUCAAAUUAUUCUAUGAAGUUUGUUUGUGAAAAUAUGGCAGCUAGCACAUGCCCAAAUUAAAGUUGUAAAUAACAUAUACAUGUUCUAUAAUCAUGUUUUCCAACUAAUUGAUUUACAUAUUGUUUUGUAUUUUUUUUUUUUUGAGAAACAGGAAUUCUUUUGCUAAGAACUUUUUUGGGAAUAAUUUGCUUGAUUGUGCUGGUUAGACGAAAAUUAAAAAGGAGGCAUUUGUCGAUGGAUGACGUGAUUGAGAAUUUUCUUCAGAGUCAAAACAAUUUAAUGCCUAUAAGAUAUUCUUACUCUGAAAUAAAAAGAAUGACUGAUGGUUUCAAGAAUAAACUUGGUCAAUGAGGAUAUGGCUCUGUGUUUAAAGGAAAACUUUGACGUGGUCAACUUGUUGCGAUAAAAUUGUUAAACAAGUCAAAAGCUAACGGCCAAGAUUUCAUCAAU
This 37841-nucleotide long non-coding RNA is filed under the name Theobroma cacao (cacao). RNAcentral's name for it is "long non-coding RNA (TCAC_LNC004316)". The record is from RNAcentral. Lineage: Eukaryota; Viridiplantae; Streptophyta; Magnoliopsida; Malvales; Malvaceae.